This 76-nucleotide transfer RNA is filed under the name Tistrella bauzanensis. RNAcentral describes it as "tRNA-Phe". It matches the Rfam family "tRNA". Rfam says of the family: Transfer RNA (tRNA) molecules are approximately 80 nucleotides in length. Their secondary structure includes four short double-helical elements and three loops (D, anti-codon, and T loops). The record is from RNAcentral. RNAcentral also lists the same sequence under 9 other names. Lineage: Bacteria; Pseudomonadati; Pseudomonadota; Alphaproteobacteria; Geminicoccales; Geminicoccaceae.
GCCCAGGUAGCUCAGUUGGUAGAGCAGUGGACUGAAAAUCCGCGUGUCGGUGGUUCAAAUCCGCCCCUGGGCACCA